AAUGAAAAUUUGAUGAUAAUGAUGAGCAACAUCACCCUGGCUGCAGGGCCUCCUGGAAGCCAAGGAGAUCCUGGUCCACCAGGUGCCAAAGGAGAGAAAGGCAGCCAAGGUGAAAAAGGACAGCCAGGAGAGCCUGG
Tinamus guttatus (white-throated tinamou) is the source of this 137-nucleotide non-coding RNA. The record is from RefSeq and is a predicted model, not a curated record. NCBI's taxonomy places the organism in Eukaryota, Metazoa, Chordata, Aves, Tinamiformes, Tinamidae.